RNAcentral lists this ribosomal RNA (488 nucleotides) under uncultured bacterium. RNAcentral's name for it is "partial 16S ribosomal RNA". It matches the Rfam family "Bacterial small subunit ribosomal RNA", at positions 30 to 523 of the family's 1533-position model. The record is from RNAcentral.
AUUGAACGCUGGCGGCAUGCCUUACACAUGCAAGUCGAGCGGGGUUUUCGGACCUAGCGGCGGACGGGUGAGUAAUGCGUAGGAAGCUGCCCGAUAGAGGGGGAUACCAGUUGGAAACGACUGUUAAUACCGCAUAAUGUCUACGGACCAAAGUGUGGGCCCUUCGGGCCACAUGCUAUCGGAUGCGCCUACGUGGGAUUAGCUAGUUGGUGAGGUAAUGGCUCACCACUGCGACGAUCUCUAGCUGGUUUGAGAGGCUGAUCAGCCACACUGGAACUGAGACACGGUCCAGACUCCUACGGGAGGCAGCAGUGGGUAGUAUUGGACAAUGGGCGCAAGCCUGAUCCAGCCAUGCCGCGUGUGUGAAGAAGGCCUUCGGGCUGUAAAGCACUUUCAGCGAGGAGGAAGGGUGGUGUGUUAAUAGCACAUCAUUUUGACGUUACUCGCAGAAGAAGCACCGGCUAACUCUGUGCCAGCCGCCGCGGUAA